This is a long non-coding RNA of Hippocampus comes (tiger tail seahorse), 309 nucleotides long. RefSeq lists it as uncharacterized. Lineage: Eukaryota; Metazoa; Chordata; Actinopteri; Syngnathiformes; Syngnathidae. The record is from RefSeq and is a predicted model, not a curated record. The transcript is spliced from 3 exons.
AUCGCAUUCUACCUUUCCAGACCAGAAAAAGUACAAGUAUCAGGUCAUGGGGAAGGAGGAGAUACAUUUCAAAUUGCUUCACAAUGACGUGGCUGAGGCAGAUCGCAUAUUUGAUGACGUUCGUAAACGACCAAGGAAGUUCAUCUGCAUAAACGAUGACCUUGACCACACCCAAAGCACUGCUAAGCAAGUGCAAACAAAGUUGGUGAAAUUUUACCAAUCCAUGUUCCCGCGGCCGUCCCAGUUUGAGCUCCCCAAAGGCACGUCCAACAGGUUCCUGCACAUGGAUGAGCAUCUUUAAGGGAUUGG